RNAcentral lists this long non-coding RNA (3522 nucleotides) under Cucumis sativus (cucumber). RNAcentral's name for it is "long non-coding RNA (CSAT_LNC000184)". The record is from RNAcentral. Lineage: Eukaryota; Viridiplantae; Streptophyta; Magnoliopsida; Cucurbitales; Cucurbitaceae.
CCAGACUCGGUUUCUUGGUUCCGUCCCAAAACGCCGAAGAAAGGCACAAUGGCCUAGAAAGGGAUAGUCGGACUUGGAACGGGGUCCGAGGCCUCGAAAGUCCACAUCUAGCUACUGGGUGGUCCGAUUCUGAGUGAUCUCGAACUUUCUUGUCCACAAAAGCCGAACGGUGACGCCCCAGACUCGGUUUCUUGGUUCCGUCCCAAAACGCCGAAGAAAGGCACAAUGGCCUAGAAAGGGACGGUCGGACUUGGAACGGGGUCCGAGGCCUCGAAAGUCCACAUCAAGCUACUGGGUGGUCCGAUUCUGAGUGAUCUCGAAGUUUCUAGCCACAAAAGCCGAACGGUGACGCCCCAGACUCGGUUUUUUGGUUCCGUCCCAAAACGCCGAAGAAAGGCACAAUGGCCUAGAAAGGGACGGUCGGACAUGGAACGGGGUCCGAGGCGUCGAAAGUCCACAUCUAGCUACUGGGUGGUCCGAUUCCGAGUGAUCUCGAAGUUUCUUGCCCACAAAAGCCGAACGGUGCGCCCCAGACUCGGUUUCUUGGUUCCGUCCCGAAACGCCGAAGAAAGGCACAAUGGCCUCGAAAGGGACGGUCGGACUUGGAACGGGGUCUGAGGCCUCGAAAGUCCACAUCUAGCUACUUGGUGGUCCGAUUCUGAGUGAUCUCGAAGUUUCUUGCCCAGAAAAGCCGAACGGUGUCGCCCUAGACUCGGUUUCUUGGUUCCGUCCCAAAACGCCGAAGAAAGGCACAAUGGCCCAGUAAGGGACGGUCGGACUAGGAACGGGGUCCGAGGCCUCGAAAGUCCACAUCUAGCUACUGGGUGGUCCGAUUCUGAGUGAUCUCGAAGUUUCUUGCCCACAAAAGCCGAACGGUGACGCCCCAGACUCGGUUUCUUGGUUUUGUCCCAUAACGCCGAAGAAAGGCACAGUGGCCUAGAAAGGGACGGUCGGACUUGGAACGGGGUCCUAGGCCUCGAAAGUCCACAUCUAGCUACUUGAUGGUCCGAUUCUGAGUGAUCUCGAAGUUUCUUGGCCACAAAAGCCGAACGGUGACGCCCCAGACUCGGUUUCUUGGUUCCGUACCAAAACGCCGAAGAAAGGCACAGUGGCCUAGAAAGGGACGGUCGGACUUGGAACGGGGUCCGAGGCCUCGAAAGUCCACAUCUAGCUACUGGGUGGUCCGAUUCUGAGUUAUCUCGAAGUUUCUUGCGCACAAAAACCAAACGGUGACGCCCCAGACUCGGUUUCUUGGUUCCUUCCGAAAACGCCGAAGAAAGACACAAUGGCCUAGAAAGGGACGGUCGGACUUGGAACGCAGUCCGGGGCCUCGAAAGUCCACAUCUAGCUACUGGGUGGUCCGAUUCUGAGUGAUCUCGAAGUUUCUUGCCCACAAAAGCCGAACGGUGUCGCCCCAGACUCGGUUUCUUGGUUCCGUCCCAAAACGUCGAAGAAAGGCACAUUGGCCUAGAAAGGGACGGUCGGACUUGGAACGGUGUCCGAGGCCUCGAAAGUCCACAUCUAGCUACUCCGUGGUCCGAUUCUGAGUGAUCUCGAAGUUUCUUGCCCACAAAAGGCGAACGGUGACGCCCCAGACUCGGUUUCUUGGUUCCGUCCAAAAACGCCGAAGAAAGGGACAAUGGCCUAGAAAGGGACGGUCGGACUUGGAACGCGGUCCGAGGCCUCGAAAGUCCACAUCUAACUACCGGGUGGUCCGAUUCUGAGUGAUCUCGAAGUUUCUUGCCCACAAAAGCUGAACGGUGACGCCCCAAACUCGGUUUCUUGGUUCCGUCCCAAAACGCCGAAGAAAGGCACAAUUUCCUAGAAAGGGACGAUCGGACUUGGAACGGGUCCGAGGCCUCGAAAGUCCACAUCUAGCUACUGGGUGGUCCGAUUCUGAGUGAUCUCGAAGUUUCUUGCCCACAAAAGCCGAACGGUGACGCCCCAGACUCGGUUUCUUGGUUCCGUCCCAAAACGCUGAAGAAAGGCACAAUGGCCUAGAAAGGGACGGUCGGACUUGGAACGAGGUCCGAGGCCUCGAAAGUACACAUGUAGCUACUGGGUGGUCUGAUUCUUAGUGACCUUGAAGUUUCUUAACCACAAAAGCCGAACGGUGACGCCCCAGACUCGGUUUCUUGGUUCCCUCCCAAAACGCCGAAGAAAGGCACAAUGGCCUAGAAAGGGACGGUCGGACUUGGAACGGGGUCCGAAGCCUCGAAAGUCCACAUGUAGCUACUGGGUGGUCCGAUUCUUUGUGAUCUCGAAGUUUCUUGACCACAAAAGCCGAACGGUGACGCCCAGACUCGGUUUCUUGGUUCCGUCCCAAAACGCCGAAGAAAAGCACAAUGGCCUAGAAAGGGACGGUCGGACUUGGAACGGGGUCCGAGGCCUCGAAAGUCCACAUCUAGCUACUGGGUGGUCUGAUUCUUUGUGAUCUCGAAGUUUCUUGCCCACAAAAGCCGAACGGUGACGCCCAGACUCGGUUUCUUAGUUCCGUCCCAAAACGCCGAAGAAAGGCACAAUUUCCUAGAAAGGGACGGUCGGACUUGGAACGGGGUCCGAGGCCUCGAAAGUCCAUAUCUAGCUACUGGGUGGUCCGAUUCUGAGUGAUCUCGAAGUUUCUUGCCCACAAAAGCCGAACGGUGACGCCCGAGACUCGGUUUCUUGGUUCCGUCCCAAAACGCCGAAGAAAAGCACAAUGGCCUAGAAAGGGACGGUCGGACUUGGAACGGGGUCCGAGGCCUCGAAAGUCCACAUCUAGCUACUGGGUGGUCUGAUUCUUUGUGAUCUCGAAGUUUCUUGCCCACAAAAGCCGAACGGUGACGCCCCAGACUCGGUUUCUUGGUUCCGUCCCAAAACGCCGAAGAAAGGCACAAUGGACUAGAAAGAGACGGUCGGACUUGGAACGGGGUCCGAGGCCUCAAAAGUCCACAUCUAGCUACUGGGUGGUCCGAUUCUUUGUGAUCUCGAAGUUUCUUGCCCACAAAAGCCGAACGGUGACGCCCCAGACUCGGUUUCUUGGUUCCGUCACAAAACGCCGAAGAAAGGCACAAUGGCCUAGAAAGGGACGGUCGGACUUGGAACGGGGUCCGAGGCCUCGAAAGUCCACAUCUAGCUACUGGGUGGUCCGAUUCUUUGUGAUCUCGAAGUUUCUUGCCCACAAAAGCCGAACGGUGACGCCCCAGACUCGGUUUCUUGGUUCCAUCCCAAAACGCGGAAGAAAGGCACAAUGGCCUAGAAAGGGACGGUCGGACUUGGAACGGGGUCCGUUGCCUCGAAAGUCCACAUCUAGCUACUGGGUGGUCCGAUUCUGAGUGAUCUCGAAGUUUCUUGCCCACAAAAGCCGAACGGUGACGCCUAGACUCGGUUUCUUGGUUUCGUCCCAAAACGCCGAAGAAAGGCACAGUGGCCUAGAAAGGGACGGUCGGACUUGGAACGGGGUCUGAGGCCUCGAAAGUCCACAUCUAGCUACUGGGUGGUCCGAUUCUUUGUGAUCUCGAAGUUUCUUGCCCACAAAAGCCG